RNAcentral lists this ribosomal RNA (234 nucleotides) under uncultured bacterium. RNAcentral describes it as "partial 16S ribosomal RNA". It matches the Rfam family "Bacterial small subunit ribosomal RNA", at positions 524 to 757 of the family's 1533-position model. The record is from RNAcentral.
UACGUAGGGGGCAAGCGUUGUCCGGAAUUAUUGGGCGUAAAGAGCGUGUAGGCGGUCCGGUAAGUCAGCUGUGAAAGUCAAGGGCUCAACCCUUGAAAGCCGGUUGAUACUGUCGGGCUAGAGUCCGGAAGAGGCGAGUGGAAUUCCCGGUGUAGCGGUGAAAUGCGCAGAUAUCGGGAGGAACACCAAUGGCGAAGGCAGCUCGCUGGGACGGUACUGACGCUGAGACGCGAA